Molecule: ribosomal RNA, 400 nt
Filed under: uncultured bacterium
Lineage: Bacteria
Description: bacterial SSU rRNA
Rfam family: Bacterial small subunit ribosomal RNA
Source: RNAcentral
UGGGGAAUUUUGGACAAUGGGCGAAAGCCUGAUCCAGCCAUGCCGCGUGAGUGAAGAAGGCCUUCGGGUUGUAAAGCUCUUUUGUCCGGGAGCAAAUCCUGUUCACUAAUACUGAGCGGGGCUGAGAGUACCGGAAGAAUAAGCACCGGCUAACUACGUGCCAGCAGCCGCGGUAAUACGUAGGGUGCGAGCGUUAAUCGGAAUUACUGGGCGUAAAGGGUGCGCAGGUGGUUACGUAAGUCUGAUGUGAAAGCCCCGGGCUCAACCUGGGAACUGCAUUGGAGACUGCGUGGCUAGAGUGUGGCAGAGGGGGGUGGAAUUCCGCGUGUAGCAGUGAAAUGCGUAGAGAUGCGGAGGAACACCAAUGGCGAAGGCAGCCCCCUGGGUUAACACUGACACU